Molecule: ribosomal RNA, 586 nt
Filed under: Lactobacillus gasseri
Lineage: Bacteria; Bacillati; Bacillota; Bacilli; Lactobacillales; Lactobacillaceae
Description: bacterial SSU rRNA
Rfam family: Bacterial small subunit ribosomal RNA
Source: RNAcentral
CGAGCUUGCCUAGAUGAAUUUGGUGCUUGCACCAAAUGAAACUAGAUACAAGCGAGCGGCGGACGGGUGAGUAACACGUGGGUAACCUGCCCAAGAGACUGGGAUAACACCUGGAAACAGAUGCUAAUACCGGAUAACAACACUAGACGCAUGUCUAGAGUUUAAAAGAUGGUUCUGCUAUCACUCUUGGAUGGACCUGCGGUGCAUUAGCUAGUUGGUAAGGUAACGGCUUACCAAGGCAAUGAUGCAUAGCCGAGUUGAGAGACUGAUCGGCCACAUUGGGACUGAGACACGGCCCAAACUCCUACGGGAGGCAGCAGUAGGGAAUCUUCCACAAUGGACGCAAGUCUGAUGGAGCAACGCCGCGUGAGUGAAGAAGGGUUUCGGCUCGUAAAGCUCUGUUGGUAGUGAAGAAAGAUAGAGGUAGUAACUGGCCUUUAUUUGACGGUAAUUACUUAGAAAGUCACGGCUAACUACGUGCCAGCAGCCGCGGUAAUACGUAGGUGGCAAGCGUUGUCCGGAUUUAUUGGGCGUAAAGCGAGUGCAGGCGGUUCAAUAAGUCUGAUGUGAAAGCCUUCGGCUCAAC